AAAUUAAUAAUCAAAAUACAUUGAAUUACUAAGAAAAUAAAAAUGAAUUUUGAACUGAAUCCUAAUUCUAACCAUUAGAGUCAACUGGUGUUUUGUAGCGUUCAACAAAAUCAACCUUAGAAACGAUUAAGAAAACAUUUACAAGAUUAAUUCAGUGUUUAGAUCCUACAGAGAUUGGGGGGCCUAAGAACUCCAAAUGAAUUAGCUAUGCUCUUGUGCUUCCUCGAUCAUACCCUUCUGGACUCAGGAGGUACACAAUUCAAAAAUGCCGCAACUCUUGAGACUUACAUUAGCUUCAAGAAAUGCCGGGCCGGUACUGAGUGUUAUCUUUACAAUGUUCUCUUGCUUUGUAUUCUCCGUUUGAUAAUCCACAUCCUUCGGAUGGGAUCAAAGAGAUUAUGGCUUGAGUAAAUUAUUAUCAUCACAAACGCAACGUUAGCUUAUCAUACGAAAAGUGUCUCCCCAUGUGUUACCCAGUGCAGAAAGCGCUCUGACAAUCCACCCAUGAGGUCUUCGGAAGAGAGGUCGUCCGCAGUUUGAUUUCUUCCCUUCAAGCUAGAUCCAGACUCACUAGCAGAUGUUUCGCUUUUCAGCUCAUUCAUAAGAUAUUCAGAUGAUAGGCCAGCAAUUGACCUAUCAAAAGGAUCUUCUUCACAAGAAUUCCCUGAUGACGAAAGCCAGUCCAUAUCAAGAAAAUUUGAGCAGCUACAUGCAUCCCCAUGCUCUUCAUAGCAAAUAUGAUCACUGUCAAAGUAUUCAUCUUCUCCAGUAUUUUUAAAAAGCUGCUGACGAGGCAUUGAGGGAGUAUACCUAAAAUGACAGCCAACAGUUAAAUCAACGGUAAUGCAGUUUGAAUACCCCUCUAAUCAGUGUUCAUCAACAUUAAAUAACAUGUGUGAACACUUUAUUUGUAAAGUUGGUUGAACACUUUCUAGCCUGAUCUUUUAUGGCGUUAGCUAAAACAAAUGCUUAUACGGAUAUGAUGAUGUAACAUGGAGAUGUAAUUUAAAGAGACCUAGAGUAUGAUAUGUCACUUUCGCAGGUGGAGAUCUCUGGAGUUAAAUCUGAAAGACCCUUAUUAACUCCUUGCUCCUCAGAAAAAGGCUUAUCAUGUCCGACCUUGGUAGCUGCUACAAGAUUGCCAUCUGAUAGUGAUUUUUUGACGAAUGACCUGAAGAGAAUAGAAUAGAUAAUAAUGUCAUGAGGUAUUACACAAAAGGAACUGUUGGUUUUGGAAAUUAUUGAAGUGUAAUCACCAAUUCAUCAUAACGUCAUAGAAACACUAUCAUCAGUUUGUAUUACAUCCACAAAAGCACAGAAAAUCUACUGAACCAGAGUAAAAUCCACUUUGUUUCAUAAAACUUUCUUCAGAUAUGGAUAGGUAAAAGAGCAAAGAUAUCUUGGCAAACUUUUGAACAAAAACCGAGAGCUUUGAUCAUGACAAAAAAGCUCCUGUAUUAAAAAAUAAUAGGCCCCCCUCCAUCAUCUCUUUAUGCUGUCUGGCUACUUUUUUUUUUCCUCCUCCAUCUGAUAAAAGCAAUACGUGUGAAUCUAACAUGAUUUCCUGUACUUUUUUGGCACUUUCAAGGAAACCACAAUAU
This 1601-nucleotide unclassified non-coding RNA is filed under the name Hevea brasiliensis (rubber tree). Lineage: Eukaryota; Viridiplantae; Streptophyta; Magnoliopsida; Malpighiales; Euphorbiaceae. The record is from RNAcentral.